CCUACGGGAGACAGCAGUGAGGAAUAUUGGUCAAUGGGCUUACGCCUGAACCAGCCAAGUCGCGUGAGGGAGGACGGCCCUACGGGUUGUAAACCUCUUUUGCCGGGGAGCAACGGGCGUCACGUGUGGCGCCACUGAGAGUCCCCGGAGAAAAAGCAUCGGCUAACUCCGGGCCAGCAGCCGCGGUAAUACGGGGGAUGCGAGCGUUAUCCGGUUUUAUUGGGUUUAAAGGGUGCGUAGGCGGAUCGUUAAGUCAGUGGUCAAAUUGAGGGGCUCAACCCCUUCCCGCCAUUGAAACUGGCGUUCUUGAGUGGAAGAGAAGUAUGCGGAAUGCGUGGUGUAGCGGUGAAAUGCAUAGAUAUCACGCAGAACCCCGAUUGCGAAGGCAGCAUGCCGGCUUCCGACUGACGCUGAAGCACGAAAGCGUGGGGAUCGAACAGGAUUAGAUACCCUAGUAGUC
RNAcentral lists this ribosomal RNA (460 nucleotides) under uncultured bacterium. RNAcentral's name for it is "partial 16S ribosomal RNA". It matches the Rfam family "Bacterial small subunit ribosomal RNA", at positions 338 to 795 of the family's 1533-position model. The record is from RNAcentral.